GGGACAUACUGUUGAGGUAAUAUCAAGCAUGAGUUUCCAUUUAAAAAAUUACAAUGAGUUGCAUAAAAAGUUUCCUAUCAAUUUUUUUUCUUUUUUUGAAACAGGGUCUCACUCUGUCACCCAGGGCUGGAAUGUAGUGGCAUGAUCAUGGCUCACGGCAAUCUUAACCUCCCGAUCUCCAGCAAUCUUCCCACCUCAGCUUCCUGAGUAACUGGAACUACAGAUUCCACUUCUGCAGGGCUCCAUGGCAGUCUCCAAUCUGUGAAAGCACAGAUUCCUGAAAGGAUGGCCUCAAAUGACCAGGAGUGACUCUCUACAUACCUGCUUCUGAAUGACAACCUAACUGGAGUCUCCAUCAACUGCCCCAUCAUAGACACACCUCCAAUUACCCAACUGAACUUCAUGACCGAUUGGCCAGUCAACCAUGUCCCUGACCCAGCCUACACGAACACUGGAAGGUCAUCAAAAGCAGCAGAGGUGAGGAGGUACCUGCCCUGGGCUACAGAUCUAUAUAGUUCAGCAAUCUCCGCCCCUAGUACUCAAGAAGCUCUAAGCCACCCUUCUGUAAGUCAGAAUGGAAGCACGUGAUACCACAUUUCUAUCUGCUGUAGAGACCCUUCCCAGUGUCUCAAAAUGUUUUAGCAUCUGUCAGUAAAAUUGUUCAAGUUUUUCAGUUAUUGAUAAAAAAAAAAAAGCACCUAUUUAAAGCUCCCUUGAACUCUCUAUUUUAAUGUCUUUGUAAAUUCCCAACAUCUUGUGUUCAUCUUUGUAAUUUAUCUUUAUUAAACUUGUCAUAAACUCCAA
This is a long non-coding RNA of Sapajus apella (tufted capuchin), 804 nucleotides long. RefSeq lists it as uncharacterized. Lineage: Eukaryota; Metazoa; Chordata; Mammalia; Primates; Cebidae. The record is from RefSeq and is a predicted model, not a curated record. The transcript is spliced from 2 exons.